UCCCAAUAGAUCAGUCAGUAGAGCAUGAGUCUCUUAAUCUCAGGGUUGUGGGUUCAAGUCCCAUGUUGGGCAAAA
Molecule: non-coding RNA, 75 nt
Organism: Podarcis lilfordi (Lilford's wall lizard)
Lineage: Eukaryota; Metazoa; Chordata; Lepidosauria; Squamata; Lacertidae
Source: the annotation of a GenBank genome assembly